RNAcentral lists this ribosomal RNA (579 nucleotides) under Lactiplantibacillus plantarum. RNAcentral's name for it is "bacterial SSU rRNA". It matches the Rfam family "Bacterial small subunit ribosomal RNA", at positions 55 to 600 of the family's 1533-position model. The record is from RNAcentral. Lineage: Bacteria; Bacillati; Bacillota; Bacilli; Lactobacillales; Lactobacillaceae.
AUGCAGUCGAACGAACUCUGGUAUUGAUUGGUGCUUGCAUCAUGAUUUACAUUUGAGUGAGUGGCGAACUGGUGAGUAACACGUGGGAAACCUGCCCAGAAGCGGGGGAUAACACCUGGAAACAGAUGCUAAUACCGCAUAACAACUUGGACCGCAUGGUCCGAGUUUGAAAGAUGGCUUCGGCUAUCACUUUUGGAUGGUCCCGCGGCGUAUUAGCUAGAUGGUGGGGUAACGGCUCACCAUGGCAAUGAUACGUAGCCGACCUGAGAGGGUAAUCGGCCACAUUGGGACUGAGACACGGCCCAAACUCCUACGGGAGGCAGCAGUAGGGAAUCUUCCACAAUGGACGAAAGUCUGAUGGAGCAACGCCGCGUGAGUGAAGAAGGGUUUCGGCUCGUAAAACUCUGUUGUUAAAGAAGAACAUAUCUGAGAGUAACUGUUCAGGUAUUGACGGUAUUUAACCAGAAAGCCACGGCUAACUACGUGCCAGCAGCCGCGGUAAUACGUAGGUGGCAAGCGUUGUCCGGAUUUAUUGGGCGUAAAGCGAGCGCAGGCGGUUUUUUAAGUCUGAUGUGAAAG